Molecule: ribosomal RNA, 525 nt
Filed under: Ascomycota sp. 1 JM-2013
Lineage: Eukaryota; Fungi; Ascomycota
Also listed under: 1 other name
Description: eukaryotic LSU rRNA
Rfam family: 5.8S ribosomal RNA (bases 141-294)
Source: RNAcentral
CUGUGAACCUUACCCAUCGUUGCUUCGGCGGGACCGCCCCGGCGCCGGCUCAGGCCCGGAACCAGGCGCCCGCCGGAGGCCCGAAAACACUGUCGUCCAGCAAGGAUUUCUCCUCUGAUUGCACCAAAACAAUGAAUCAAAACUUUCAACAACGGAUCUCUUGGCUCUGGCAUCGAUGAAGAACGCAGCGAAAUGCGAUAAGUAAUGUGAAUUGCAGAAUUCAGUGAAUCAUCGAAUCUUUGAACGCACAUUGCGCCCGCCAGUAUUCUGGCGGGCAUGCCUGUCCGAGCGUCAUUUCAACCCUCAGGCCACGCCUGGCGUUGGGGAUCGGCGCGGGCGUCCCCCCCCCACCGGGGGUGGGCGCCCUGCCGGCCCCGAAAUACAGUGGCGGUCUCGCCGCGGUUCUCCCCUGCGUAGUAGCAACACCUCGCACCGGAGCGCGGCGCGGCCACGCCGUGAAACACCCCACAUCGGAAAGUUGACCUCGGAUCAGGUAGGAAUACCCGCUGAACUUAAGCAUAUCAA